GACGAACGCUGGCGGCGUGCUUAACACAUGCAAGUCGAACGGAAAGGCCCUGCUUUUGUGGGGUGCUCGAGUGGCGAACGGGUGAGUAACACGUGAGUAACCUGCCCUUGACUUUGGGAUAACUUCAGGAAACUGGGGCUAAUACCGGAUAGGAGCUCCUGCUGCAUGGUGGGGGUUGGAAAGUUUCGGCGGUUGGGGAUGGACUCGCGGCUUAUCAGCUUGUUGGUGGGGUAGUGGCUUACCAAGGCUUUGACGGGUAGCCGGCCUGAGAGGGUGACCGGCCACAAUGGGACUGAGAUACGGCCCAGACUCCUACGGGAGGCAGCAGUGGGGAAUAUUGCACAAUGGGCGGAAGCCUGAUGCAGCAACGCCGCGUGCGGGAUGACGGCCUUCGGGUUGUAAACCGCUUUCGCCUGUGACGAAGCGUGAGUGACGGUAAUGGGUAAAGAAGCACCGGCUAACUACGU
This 467-nucleotide ribosomal RNA is filed under the name uncultured bacterium. RNAcentral describes it as "partial 16S ribosomal RNA". It matches the Rfam family "Bacterial small subunit ribosomal RNA", at positions 28 to 506 of the family's 1533-position model. The record is from RNAcentral.